AUACAACCAAACAGCCCCUGAGUCCCCCCCUCUUCCGCACUGAUUCCACUGUCUCCUAUCCUCCUCCCCUCCCUCCGCCGCCUUCUCCGGUGGUGGUGCCAUCUUCGAGCUCAACAUCUUCUCAACCGAUACAGAUCCAAACCCUAACCUUAACCAUAGCCCAAGCCUAAGCCCUAGCACCUCUAUCCACCACCAUUCCCCUCUAAACCCUAGCCCUAACUCCAGCACGAGCAGAUCGUCUCUCUCGUUGUUCCAUCUGGAGAACAACUUCAGCAUCCUCGCCGCUUUGCCGGAGGAUUCUAAGGCCAGAAGCCCUAACCCUAAGUUCCUCUAGCGGAAGCCUUCAAUCCCGUCGGCGUCAUCAUUGGCAUCAACGUCGGCGUAAUCAUCAGCUCUAGAUGGAGGAUGCGGAGUUUUGGACAGGGAGAGAGACUAUCCAGUAUCUUGAUGUCAUUAAAGGUUCUCCUCUUUUUCUUCCAUAAGCUUCUAACUCCAAAGACCUCGAUGACAAAGACGACAAUCUCAAGCUGGGGCUUCAAGGGUAAUUGCAGUUCAAGCAAGCAUGAAGAUGGCUUCAGUGGCCACUCAGGGAUUUCAUACAUGUGUCGGUUCUGGUGGGGAAAUGCAAACCCCAGAAUGGUACAUGGAGCAAGGCAUAGAGCUUAUGCAGGACUUGGGUCUUUCGUUUUGGGAAGUUCUGCUCUCUCUCUUUAUCAAAAUUGAAUGUCUAUGCACAUUAAAGUUAUGGAAAGUAUUUUCCAAGGAAGAGGUCUCAAUUCUCAUGCAUAUGCUAAACGAUCUGGUAGCAUGCACCAUGCGUACCACAACCUUCAACUGGAGAAACUUUAUUGCUGUCCUUAAGAAUAUGAAAUAAAUGAUCAAUCAUUGGAUGGCAUUCAACAUGUUCAAAACCCAAGAUCGCGAAGGAAGAAGAUAUUAUAGGGGACACUCAAAGAGUUGUAACUAAAAAUUGAAUGAGUUUCAGAGUUCGUUGCAAGAGAGAUGAGAAAUGAGAUGUUUGUUUACAAUAUGCAUCAUAAAACGUUUAAAUGUUAUUUAAAUUGGAGAUACUUUUUGUUUGAUUGUAAUAAUGUAAGGUGAAUUUUUACAAGAUUCUCAUGAAAUAAUCAUGAGAGUAAUUAAGAACA
RNA transcript from Asparagus officinalis (garden asparagus), 1148 nucleotides. RefSeq lists it as uncharacterized. Lineage: Eukaryota; Viridiplantae; Streptophyta; Magnoliopsida; Asparagales; Asparagaceae. The transcript is spliced from 6 exons. The record is from RefSeq and is a predicted model, not a curated record.